UACAACGAAACUGCGAAUGGCUCGGUAAAACAGCAAUAAUUUAUUCGGGGGUAAUUGCUACUUGGAUAACCGUAGUAAAGCUAGAGCUAAUACGUGCUACAAAGGCGAGACUCGCUCUCGUGGUACUAAGUAUUAGGUACAACCCAAUUUUUUUGGUGAUUCAUACUUAUCUUCUGAUCGCACUCUGUGCGACGCCCCGAAUAAAUUUCUGACCUAUCAACUUCGAUGGUAAGGUAGUGUCUUACCAUGGUUGUGACGGGUAACGGACCGUGGGUGCGGGAUUCCGGAGAGGGAGCCUGAGAAACGGCUACCACAUCCAAGGAAGGCAGCAGGCGCGCAACUUACCCAAUCCGAACUUCGGGAGGUAGUGACAAAAAAUAUCAAUAAGGGGACCGAUGGUCUUCUUAAUUGGAAUGAAAACAAUCUAAACACCUUAUUAAGGAACCAGCAGAGGGCAAGUCUGGUGCCAGCAGCCGCGGUAAUUCCAGCUCUGUAAGCGUAUACCAAAGUUGUUGCAGUUAAAACGCUCGUAGUCGAACUUUGGCGUGAGUUACGGAGACUCCUAAUGGACGUUGAAGUAACUCCGCCUUUGUGGAGGGGGGUGCGGUGGUACUUUAUUGUAUUGCUGCGCUUCCGCCACUGUUUACUGUGAAAAAAUUAGAGUGUUCAAAGCGAGCGUUUGCCAUGAAUACAUUAGCAUGGAAUAAUAGAAUAGGACCUGAUCCUGUUUUGUUGGUUUGUCUGUAUCAGGUAAUGAUUAACAGGGACGGUCGGGGGCAUUUGUAUUCCAGCGUUAGAGGUGAAAUUCUUGGAUCGCUGGAAGACAAACAGCUGCGAAAGCGUCUGCCAAGGACGUUUUCAUUGAUCAAGAACGAAAGUAAGGGGAUCGAAGACGAUCAGAUACCGUCGUAGUCUUUACUAUAAACGAUGAUGACUAAGGAUCAGCCGUGGCCUAUUGGUACGGUUGGCACUUUCCGGGAAACCAAAGUUUUUGAUUUCUGGGGGGAGUAUGGUCGCAAGUCUGAAACUUAAAGGAAUUGACGGAAGGGCAUCACCGGGUGUGGAGCCUGCGGCUUAAUUUGACUCAACACGGGAAAACUUACCAGGUCCAGACAUAGUAAGGAUUGACAGAUUGAGAGCUCUUUCUUGAUUCUAUGGUUGGUG
RNAcentral lists this ribosomal RNA (1164 nucleotides) under Janczewskia morimotoi. RNAcentral describes it as "SSU rRNA". It matches the Rfam family "Eukaryotic small subunit ribosomal RNA", at positions 77 to 1279 of the family's 1831-position model. RNAcentral also lists the same sequence under 1 other name. The record is from RNAcentral. Lineage: Eukaryota; Rhodophyta; Florideophyceae; Ceramiales; Rhodomelaceae.